ACUGGGCGUAAGCGCGCGUAGGUGGUUUGUUAAGUUGGAUGUGAAAUCCCCGGNNNCAACCUGGGAACUGCAUCCAAAACUGGCAAGCUAGAGUAUGGUNGAGGGUGGUGGAAUUUCCUGUGUAGCGGUGAAAUGCGUAGAUAUAGGAAGGAACACCAGUGGCGAAGGCGACCACCUGGACUGAUACUGACACUGAGGUGCGAAAGCGUGGGGAGCAAACAGGAUUAGAWACNNNNGUAGUC
This 242-nucleotide ribosomal RNA is filed under the name Pseudomonas sp. Its description in RNAcentral is "partial 16S ribosomal RNA". It matches the Rfam family "Bacterial small subunit ribosomal RNA", at positions 553 to 795 of the family's 1533-position model. The record is from RNAcentral. Lineage: Bacteria; Pseudomonadati; Pseudomonadota; Gammaproteobacteria; Pseudomonadales; Pseudomonadaceae.